Molecule: small nuclear RNA, 105 nt
Organism: Cercocebus atys (sooty mangabey)
Lineage: Eukaryota; Metazoa; Chordata; Mammalia; Primates; Cercopithecidae
Source: Ensembl
UUGCUCGCUUCAGUAGCACAUAUACUAAAAUAGUAAUGAUACAGAGAAGAUUAGUAUGGCCCCUUAAAAAAAAUCACCUUAGGGCUUGUUAAAACACACAUUCCU